UACGAAGGGGGCUAGCGUUGCUCGGAAUCACUGGGCGUAAAGCGCACGUAGGCGGCUUUUUAAGUCAGAGGUGAAAUCCUGGAGCUCAACUCCAGAACUGCCUUUGAUACUGAGAGGCUUGAGUCCGGGAGAGGUGAGUGGAACUGCGAGUGUAGAGGUGAAAUUCGUAGAUAUUCGCAAGAACACCAGUGGCGAAGGCGGCUCACUGGCCCGGUACUGACGCUGAGGUGCGAAAGCGUGGGGAGCGAACAGG
Molecule: ribosomal RNA, 253 nt
Filed under: uncultured bacterium
Lineage: Bacteria
Description: partial 16S ribosomal RNA
Rfam family: Bacterial small subunit ribosomal RNA
Source: RNAcentral